RNAcentral lists this ribosomal RNA (472 nucleotides) under uncultured bacterium. RNAcentral describes it as "bacterial SSU rRNA". It matches the Rfam family "Bacterial small subunit ribosomal RNA", at positions 355 to 825 of the family's 1533-position model. The record is from RNAcentral.
UCGGGAAUUUUGGGCAAUGGGCGCAAGCCUGAUCCAGCCAUGCCGCGUGCGGGAAGAAGGCCUUCGGGUUGUAAACCGCUUUUGUCAGGGAGGAAACGCUCUGGGCUAAUACCCCGGGGUAAUGACGGUACCUGAAGAAUAAGCACCGGCUAACUACGUGCCAGCAGCCGCGGUAAUACGUAGGGUGCAAGCGUUAAUCGGAAUUACUGGGCGUAAAGCGUGCGCAGGCGGUUAUGCAAGACAGAUGUGAAAUCCCCGGGCUCAACCUGGGAACUGCAUUUGUGACUGUAUAGCUAGAGUACGGUAGAGGGGGAUGGAAUUCCGCGUGUAGCAGUGAAAUGCGUAGAUAUGCGGAGGAACACCGAUGGCGAAGGCAAUCCCCUGGACCUGUACUGACGCUCAUGCACGAAAGCGUGGGGAGCAAACAGGAUUAGAUACCCCUGUAGUCCCUGAGCGGGCUGGCAAGGCGCAU